UUAUUUUUCUUUGAUAGUAGAUUUGUGUGGUGGAGUAGGCUUACGCCGAAUCACGUUAAAUUUUGUGUACUUUAUUUUAUGUGGGUGUAGUUUUUUACAACAAGUUUUUUGCCGCUUUAUUGAGAGUGUAAGAUGCUUUCUAUUUACUGUUCUUGAAUGCAUGUUCUUUAAUAAUUCACUAUGGACUUCUAGGGUGAUAAAUGUUUUUCAGCUUAGGGGUUGUGCUUUACCAGCCGUGUCAAGGAAUCAUCUGGAAGUC
RNAcentral lists this unclassified non-coding RNA (259 nucleotides) under Hevea brasiliensis (rubber tree). The record is from RNAcentral. Lineage: Eukaryota; Viridiplantae; Streptophyta; Magnoliopsida; Malpighiales; Euphorbiaceae.